This 177-nucleotide unclassified non-coding RNA is filed under the name uncultured fungus. RNAcentral describes it as "sequence contains ITS1, 5.8S rRNA gene". Lineage: Eukaryota; Fungi. The record is from RNAcentral.
UUGAAUCCACAGGAUGUCGCUGGCCUCCCCCAAAGGGUGGCAUGUGCACUCCGCCUUCAACCCACCUGUGCACUUUUCGUAGGUCAAAGAGGGGAAACCCCCUUUGCCUAUGCUUUUUUUACACACACUUUAGUAUCAGAAUGUAACAAAGUAGACCUUCAGGUCGAAAUAAUAAUA